This 351-nucleotide ribosomal RNA is filed under the name Pterocarpus erinaceus. RNAcentral's name for it is "eukaryotic LSU rRNA". The stretch from base 1 to 110 matches the Rfam family "5.8S ribosomal RNA", at positions 47 to 154 of the family's 154-position model. Lineage: Eukaryota; Viridiplantae; Streptophyta; Magnoliopsida; Fabales; Fabaceae. The record is from RNAcentral.
AGCGAAAUGCGAUACUUGGUGUGAAUUGCAGAAUCCCGUGAACCAUCGAGUCUUUGAACGCAAGUUGCGCCCGAAGCCAUCAGGCUAAGGGCACGCCUGCCUGGGUGUCACCAAUCGUCGCCCCAAUCCCGGCGCCUCCGGGCACCGGGCGGGGCGGAUGCUGGCCUCCCGCGAGCGAGCGCCUCUCGGUUGGCCGAAAAUCGGGUUCGUGGCGGAGGGCAGCGCCACGACAGGUGGCGGUUGAGCGCAAUCUCGAGGCCGGCCGUGCGCGCGCCCCCUCCGUCGUUGCGGACCCUAAGACCCGCGGGCGGCACCGAUCUGCCGCCCAUGAUGCGACCUCAGGUCAGGCGG